UGCUAGUCAGGCGUGCGGGUGCAGGCAACGAACGGUUGAAAAGCAUGCAUUUGGUUUUACUAGCGUUUAAGAGCAGUUGGAGGCCACGGAAGGAGUGUUGUAUGGCAUUGAAGCUCGUUUGGAGGUUAGAUAGCACAGUGUCCAAGGACGGGCUAGAAGUAUAUAGAAUGGUGUCGUCUGCGUAGAGGUGGAUCAGGGAAUCGCCCGCAGCAAGAGCAACAUCAUUGAUAUAUACAGAGAAAAGAGUUGGCCCGAGAAUUGAACCCUGUGGCACCCCCAUAGAGACUGCCAGAGGACCGGACAGCAUGCCCCACAUAUAUACCCCACUUUGGACAAUCCUCCUCUGCAAUGCUUACAUCUUCUGGUUUGACAGGAAGAGGGUAACAGGAUACUAAACCCUUAGGUUGCAAGAUCGGUUCCCCGAGCUGACAAGGUACAAAUCGUUCGUUCUGCCCCUGAACAAGGCAGUUAACCCACUGUUCCUAAGCCAUCAUUGAAAAUAAGAAUGUGUUCUUAACUGACUUGCCGAGUAAAAUAAAAAUAAAUAAAUAAAAAUUGUGUCGACGACCGGCUCCCUCCUAGUCAGGUUGUGUCGACGACCGGCUCCCUCCUAGUCAGGUUGUGUCGACGACCGGCUCCCUCCUAGUCAGGUUGUGUCGACGACCGGCUCCCUCCUAGUCAGGUUGUGUCGAUGACCGGCUCCCUCCUAGUCAGGUUGUGUCGAUGACCGGCUCCUUCCUAGUCAGGUUGUGUAGAUGACCGGCUCCCUCCUAGUCAGAUUAUAUUGACGACUGCCUCCCUCUAGUCACUAGUGUGUCUUAUUUAUUUAAUCAAACAGCGUUUAAAGCAUCAUAUGUUCAGUACAUAUAGAUUUUAUAAAAACAAGUGGGGCGAUUGAUAGAAAUUACAGAUGACUCUUGGUUGACCGUGGAUCAAAUCCAGGCUGUAUCAUAACCGGCCGUGAUUGGGAGUCCCAUAGGGCGGCGCACAAUUGGCCCAGCGUCGUCCAGGGAACGCAGUCAUUGUAAAUAAGAUUUUGUUCUUAACUGAUUUGCCUAGUUAAAUAAAGGUUACAUUUAAAUAAUUUUUAAAAAGUGAUUCAUUGACAAACCAUAUUUUACAAAUCCGUCAAGGCACCAAAACAAAGGUUUCAAACCAAUUCAUGAAUGUAAUUGAAUCUAGGUGUCUUGCCUUUAAUGUAAGGGCAUGAAAAAAAAUGGCUGACAAUGACUUAUCAACAGCUCUAAUAAUUUGCCCUCACAGGAAAUCUACACUGGCAAUUAUA
Long non-coding RNA from Oncorhynchus tshawytscha (Chinook salmon), 1285 nucleotides. The record is from Ensembl. NCBI's taxonomy places the organism in Eukaryota, Metazoa, Chordata, Actinopteri, Salmoniformes, Salmonidae.